CGAGGGGUGCAAGCGUUGCUCGGAAUUAUUGGGCGUAAAGGGUAGGUAGGUGGUCUCAUUUGUCUUGUGUGAAAUCCUUGGGCUUAACUCAAGAAGUGCGCAAGAAACGGUGAGACUCGAGUCCUAGAGAGGGUCGUGGAAUCCCCGGUGUAGCGGUGAAAUGCGUAGAGAUCGGGAGGAACACCAGAGGCGAAGGCGGCGACCUGGAUAGGUACUGACACUCAACUACGAAAGCGUGGGGAGCAAACAGGAUUAGAUACCCUGGUAGUCCACGCUGUAAACGAUGGGUACUAGGCUUGGUGGGUCUUGACCCCUGCUGAGCCGGCGCUAACGCAAUAAGUACCCCGCCUGGGAAGUACGGUCGCAAGACUA
Molecule: ribosomal RNA, 372 nt
Filed under: uncultured organism
Description: bacterial SSU rRNA
Rfam family: Bacterial small subunit ribosomal RNA
Source: RNAcentral